UUUCCCUCUUAGUAAAAAAAGAACUCUCCUGUCCUACCAUACGAUCCCCACCAGGCACCUCAUACACAUCCGCCAUUUCUUCCGAUUUGCCGCCGGCGAAGGACGACGUCGCUGUGCCCCAUCAGGAAACUAAUCCUCAUGCUAUCCCAGAUCCACAUGUCGCUUCUUUUCUCGUGAUUUUUCUUCCUUGGUGGUGGCACAUGUGGCUGGGUGAGCGUGUGGAUCUCGGCGAACUCGUCGACUCUGGCAACGCGGUCACGGAGAUGUAUAGUGAGAACGUGGGCUGUCCUACUCAAAGUUGUCGUAGCUGGAGUUUCUGGAUGUUGGGGCUGCGAAGGCAUUGAGGGAGUUCGCGGAGGAAGAAAUAUCUGCAAGACGUGAGUAUCUUCUGCGAGUCGAUGUUAGUUGUUGCCCUCCUGCUAUCCAGACUUCUACCAAAUCACGAAGGGCCACUUCAAGUCGCUUGGUGACAUAAUAAUUUCAGGAGCAUCACCUGCAAACCUACCUUCAGUUUUAGAUCGUGGAUUGGAAUUCCUGGGAAGAUCAUGUUGUUGAGGAACUCUGCUGGACACAUAUUCUCCAUUGUGUUGUAAUUCAUUGUUGCCUUGCAUACAGUGUCCAAGUAUAGUAUUGCUCUUUCUUCGACAAAUUCACUAUUACGAUAGUUUUGCUGCAAGUUUGGGGUGUCCAUAGUAGAUUCUUCCAAUAGCGAAGCCCCUUUUCCGCUCCUCAGGUUUUGGUUUCGCUUUUCCAUACUAAUUUUGAUGGUAAUUCGGCAUAGGUUAAUUGUUUUCCCACCUCAUGUAUUUUGUUUGCCUCCAUCCACUCAGUGAACUUAGUACUCGUGGAUCCUGGCCUUCUUACUAUCUUCUCUAUGUCAAUCGAGUCCGGAAAAAUAAGUUCUUGCUCAUUUUUAAUGUGGAAUGGUAGUCUCACGACUGGUGGAUCAUGAUGGUGUAUAUCAAACAGGAAUGUCUGCCAGCAUGCUUCAGUUGUUGAUAUGUAUCUCAUCUCUAGGUAUUUCUUGAUGUCAUCAUAGUCAUUUGCUGCAUCUCUUCCCUUUAGCAAGGUUGUUACCUGGUCAUCAUCUUUAUGGAUGUUCUUAAAUAGGUAGGUACUUGAUUAACCUUGGCCUGUGGCACCACUCAACAUUUAUGUGAGCUUGGAAUUGGCCAAAAGGUUUCGAUUGUAGGGUACGACAAAUCUGUCGUUGAACAUUACUCCUCCCUUUUUGAUCUUCCUUCCAUUAUCUCGCCUUCUAUAAGCCAUCCUCAUCGUUUGUGGUAUCGACAUUGUAUCCUUUUGGGAAGUGCUUAGUGCAUCUGUUGCCAAUCAUGCAUGGUGAUUUUGUAUUUGACACUCCGCAAGGCCCGUGCAUCAUGAAAUUUUCCACAGUUUCAUAUCCGUCCAGAUCGUCAUCUUUGUCUAGGAUCUCCGCACCGAUUAUUUGGUCGAUUUGUGAUGUUACUUUGCACGUGUAUCAUAUCUAGGCUAAUAAGCUCAUCGGUGGUAGGAUUGACUCAAUCCCAUAUUCACAUUUGUUUUACUUGAAUGUUCCAGUUAUGUCCCCUUGUAUUUAAGUCGCUCAACUUGUUGCAUGCCAUAGUGUUUUGCGUUGAAUAUUAAUAGGGAACAAUUUGUCAAUUGAUACAAUAUUUAUAAAGAUUAUAUCUAGAGAAAAUAAGACUGUUAAUAACAAUUACUAAAUUAUCUGAUGAUUCAGGCCAAAAGUGCUUUGGCGUCCCUUCUUCCAUGUCGAUUAGAGUAGCUGGGCAUGGCUUCGUCAUGCGUUGAGCGUGCUUUGGCGUGACUUUAUCGAAUGUCAAGUGAAGCGGCUAGAGGUGGCUGAGGUGUCUUUUCGUGUCGACGUCGAGUUGCCUAGUCACGUGUGAUGUCUUUGCUGACUUCUAAUUCUUUGGGUGUGUGCUUCUGCGGCCGGCUGUACUCAUUUAUAUAUGGGUGGAGGUGUGUGGGUUGAGGUGGCUGUGACCGUGUGGAAAGCAGAUCGGGCUUUUUUCGUUUCAUGGUUCUUGUUUUGGAAGUUUCUCAUGUGAGGUCUCGUUAGGUCCAAUCAUUGUCUUUAUUUGUUUAGGUUUCCUAUUAUUUUUGAUUCCUUGACGAUUGAAAGAUUUUUUUUCUGUUUCUGUGGGCUAGUUGACGUUCGGAUGGAACCUACGUGCGUUGUUUGCACAUGGCAUGUUUUACUACUUGUACAUGUACACAUAUUUUUACGUAACGUUUCCAUCUUUUAAUCUCAGCUGUUAAAAGAUAAAAUAAAUGAUCAAAAUAAUUUAAUCUAUAUGGAUUCAUGUAAUGGUUUGUUUUACUUCUGUUUUAAGUAUAUAAUAGAUACUAUAGAUGCAUGCUGUAUAGCGGUCGAUGUGUGUAAUAGUAGUAGAUGUAGAAUCGUUUCGGUCUACUUGUCGCGGAUGUGAUGCCUAUAUAUAUGAUCAUUCCUAG
Molecule: long non-coding RNA, 2460 nt
Organism: Triticum urartu
Lineage: Eukaryota; Viridiplantae; Streptophyta; Magnoliopsida; Poales; Poaceae
Source: RefSeq, a predicted model, not a curated record